GGUUAAGCGACUAAGCGUACACGGUGGAUGCCCUGGCAGUCAGAGGCGAUGAAGGGCGUGCUAAUCUGCGAUAAGCGCCGGUAAGGUGAUAUGAACCGUUAUAACCGGCGAUACCCGAAUGGGGAAACCCAGUGUGAUUCGUCACACUAUCAUUAACUGAAUCCAUAGGUUAAUGAGGCGAACCGGGGGAACUGAAACAUCUAAGUACCCCGAGGAAAAGAAAUCAACCGAGAUUCCCCCAGUAGCGGCGAGCGAACGGGGAGGAGCCCAGAGCCUGAAUCAGCAUGUGUGUUAGUGGAAGCGUCUGGAAAGGCGCGCGAUACAGGGUGACAGCCCCGUACACAAAAGCGCAUGUGCUGUGAGCUCGAUGAGUAGGGCGGGACACGUGGUAUCCUGUCUGAAUAUGGGGGGACCAUCCUCCAAGGCUAAAUACUCCUGACUGACCGAUAGUGAACCAGUACCGUGAGGGAAAGGCGAAAAGAACCCCGGCGAGGGGAGUGAAAAAGAACCUGAAACCGUGUACGUACAAGCAGUGGGAGCACAGGUUUACCUGUGUGACUGCGUACCUUUUGUAUAAUGGGUCAGCGACUUAUAUUCUGUAGCAAGGUUAACCGUAUAGGGGAGCCGGAGGGAAACCGAGUCUUAAUUGGGCGUUAAGUUGCAGGGUAUAGACCCGAAACCCGGUGAUCUAGCCAUGGGCAGGUUGAAGGUUGGGUAACACUAACUGGAGGACCGAACCGACUAAUGUUGAAAAAUUAGCGGAUGACCUGUGGCUGGGGGUGAAAGGCCAAUCAAACCGGGAGAUAGCUGGUUCUCCCCGAAAGCUAUUUAGGUAGCGCCUCGUGAAUUCAUCUCCGGGGGUAGAGCACUGUUUCGGCUAGGGGGCCAUCCCGGCUUACCAACCCGAUGCAAACUGCGAAUACCGGAGAAUGUUAUCACGGGAGACACACGGCGGGUGCUAACGUCCGUCGUGAAGAGGGAAACAACCCAGACCGCCAGCUAAGGUCCCAAAGUCAUGGUUAAGUGGGAAACGAUGUGGGAAGGCCCAGACAGCCAGGAUGUUGGCUUAGAAGCAGCCAUCAUUUAAAGAAAGCGUAAUAGCUCACUGGUCGAGUCGGCCUGCGCGGAAGAUGUAACGGGGCUAAACCAUGCACCGAAGCUGCGGCAGCGAACGUAUCACCCAAGACAACUUUACGGAGUUGACGAUUGACGGAGCGAAGCGACGUCAAAGCGUUCAUUAAAGUCGAGUUGGCUUAGGGAUACGUUCGUUGGGUAGGGGAGCGUUCUGUAAGCCUGUGAAGGUGUGUCGUGAGGCAUGCUGGAGGUAUCAGAAGUGCGAAUGCUGACAUAAGUAACGAUAAAGCGGGUGAAAAGCCCGCUCGCCGGAAGACCAAGGGUUCCUGUCCAACGUUAAUCGGGGCAGGGUGAGUCGACCCCUAAGGCGAGGCCGAAAGGCGUAGUCGAUGGGAAACGGGUUAAUAUUCCCGUACUUGGUGUUACUGCGAAGGGGGGACGGAGAAGGCUAUGUUGGCCGGGCGACGGUUGUCCCGGUUUAAGCGUGUAGGUGUGUGUUCCAGGUAAAUCCGGUUCACUUUAACACUGAGGCGUGACGACGAGGCACUACGGUGCUGAAGCAACAAAUGCCCUGCUUCCAGGAAAAGCCUCUAAGCAUCAGGUAACACGAAAUCGUACCCCAAACCGACACAGGUGGUCAGGUAGAGAAUACCAAGGCGCUUGAGAGAACUCGGGUGAAGGAACUAGGCAAAAUGGUGCCGUAACUUCGGGAGAAGGCACGCUGACACGUAGGUGAAGUGAUUUACUCACGGAGCUGAAGUCAGUCGAAGAUACCAGCUGGCUGCAACUGUUUAUUAAAAACACAGCACUGUGCAAACACGAAAGUGGACGUAUACGGUGUGACGCCUGCCCGGUGCCGGAAGGUUAAUUGAUGGGGUCAGCGCAAGCGAAGCUCCUGAUCGAAGCCCCGGUAAACGGCGGCCGUAACUAUAACGGUCCUAAGGUAGCGAAAUUCCUUGUCGGGUAAGUUCCGACCUGCACGAAUGGCGUAAUGAUGGCCAGGCUGUCUCCACCCGAGACUCAGUGAAAUUGAACUCGCUGUGAAGAUGCAGUGUACCCGCGGCAAGACGGAAAGACCCCGUGAACCUUUACUAUAGCUUGACACUGAACAUUGAGCCUUGAUGUGUAGGAUAGGUGGGAGGCUUUGAAGUGUGGACGCCAGUCUGCAUGGAGCCGACCUUGAAAUACCACCCUUUAAUGUUUGAUGUUCUAACGUGGACCCGUAAUCCGGGUUGCGGACAGUGUCUGGUGGGUAGUUUGACUGGGGCGGUCUCCUCCUAAAGAGUAACGGAGGAGCACGAAGGUUGGCUAAUCCUGGUCGGACAUCAGGAGGUUAGUGCAAUGGCAUAAGCCAGCUUGACUGCGAGCGUGACGGCGCGAGCAGGUGCGAAAGCAGGUCAUAGUGAUCCGGUGGUUCUGAAUGGAAGGGCCAUCGCUCAACGGAUAAAAGGUACUCCGGGGAUAACAGGCUGAUACCGCCCAAGAGUUCAUAUCGACGGCGGUGUUUGGCACCUCGAUGUCGGCUCAUCACAUCCUGGGGCUGAAGUAGGUCCCAAGGGUAUGGCUGUUCGCCAUUUAAAGUGGUACGCGAGCUGGGUUUAGAACGUCGUGAGACAGUUCGGUCCCUAUCUGCCGUGGGCGCUGGAGAACUGAGGGGGGCUGCUCCUAGUACGAGAGGACCGGAGUGGACGCAUCACUGGUGUUCGGGUUGUCAUGCCAAUGGCACUGCCCGGUAGCUAAAUGCGGAAGAGAUAAGUGCUGAAAGCAUCUAAGCACGAAACUUGCCCCGAGAUGAGUUCUCCCUGAGACUUAGAGUCUCCUGAAGGAACGUUGAAGACGACGACGUUGAUAGGCCGGGUGUGUAAGCGCAGCGAUGCGUUGAGCUAACCGGUACUAAUGAACCGUGAGGCUUAACCUU
Molecule: ribosomal RNA, 2992 nt
Filed under: Salmonella enterica
Lineage: Bacteria; Pseudomonadati; Pseudomonadota; Gammaproteobacteria; Enterobacterales; Enterobacteriaceae
Also listed under: 1 other name
Description: 23S ribosomal RNA
Rfam family: Bacterial large subunit ribosomal RNA
Source: RNAcentral